Molecule: ribosomal RNA, 255 nt
Filed under: uncultured bacterium
Lineage: Bacteria
Description: partial 16S ribosomal RNA
Rfam family: Bacterial small subunit ribosomal RNA
Source: RNAcentral
UACGGAGGAUGCAAGCGUUAAUCGGAAUUACUGGGCGUAAAGCGUGCGCAGGCGGUUAUGUAAGACAGGUGUGAAAUCCCCGGGCUUAACCUGGGAACUGCAUUUGUGACUGCAUAGCUAGAGUACGGUAGAGGGGGAUGGAAUUCCGCGUGUAGCAGUGAAAUGCGUAGAUAUCGGGAAGAACACCAACGGCGAAAGCACUCUGCUGGGACGAAAAACUGACACUGAUAGACGAAAGCUAGGGGAGCAAAUGGG